GUGUUUGCUUUGACAGCACACAUACCAAAGUUGGAAUGAUACAGAGAGGAUUAGCAUGGACCCUGCACAAAGAUGACACACAAAUUUUUGAAGCAUUCCAUAAUUAU
This is a small nuclear RNA of Fukomys damarensis (Damara mole-rat), 107 nucleotides long. The record is from Ensembl. NCBI's taxonomy places the organism in Eukaryota, Metazoa, Chordata, Mammalia, Rodentia, Bathyergidae.